This is a long non-coding RNA of Frankliniella occidentalis (western flower thrips), 1572 nucleotides long. RefSeq lists it as uncharacterized. NCBI's taxonomy places the organism in Eukaryota, Metazoa, Arthropoda, Insecta, Thysanoptera, Thripidae. The transcript is spliced from 2 exons. The record is from RefSeq and is a predicted model, not a curated record.
GCGAUAAAAUCUGAACCGUAGCACCUACAGCCCACGUAGACACAUAUACUUUCUCAGCAGAAAAGGACGAAUAAAGUGAUACCCGUGUCGUUGAAAUCGGAGCAAAACUUCGUGUUCAAAUACCUCGCGCAAUGCACUUAGGACCCUGUCUAAAGUUUAAGGGCUUUGAGCAGUUAUUUAGAGUGAUCUCACAGCAAAAGGAAAAAACACGUAAGCUUUUAUUUUUCAUCCACUACUCGAUUUUGACCAGCGUUGCUCUCUCCGAAUAUUUUGAUUUUUUUUGGGCCACCCUAGCUGGGUUGCCUACAGGCCCGGCGCAGAGAGGGCAACAGCCACAGACCGACAAAGGUGGAUUGAACUUGUACUUGUUCGUCACAGUAGUGAUAUACUUUGAAAACAAUCUUUGUACAGAAAUUGUCUUAUUAUAUUUCCAUGCGUUUCUGUUGCUCGUGGGCGAAUCCAGUUAGUUAAAAAUAGGAAAGGAGAGGGAGCAUCGAACUCGUCACCAUGUUUAAGGAAAGAAAACUUGCGGAAGAUCUCGAUAGACGCUGGCCGGCUGUUGGCUGAGCAAUGGUAAACUCAAAACUAUUUCAAAGUUAUCGAAAAAACAGAUCGAUUAUGACCAGAAACAAAUUGUUUCAGUAUUGUAUUUGAAAGGGUGCACCAUUUGAUAUACAUAGAGUUCGGUCUGCCCCUUCCCCUUUUCUCAGCCAAACCAACUGCGCCAAUUAUUGAAGCAUCAUCGGUCUGGUACUGACUGAGUAUAAAGAAGACACAGGAGGUACAGUACUUUAAUCAAUGGAUGCAUUAAAGAAAACGUUGAAGUUCCCUGAACUUCAAAAUAAAUGUCGAAGCUCCCCAAAGUUUAAACUACAUCAUAGAGGUUCACUGACGUUUAAAUUCAACCGCCACACUUCAAAACAACCACCAAAAUGUAUUUCAGAUUUUAUUUAAAAACCACAAGCUGCUAUGGUCGCAAAACAUAUAGCAGAGAUAGCAAAAACUUUUGCUGAAACAGCAAAAACCUUUGUUCAGCGAAAACAAAAAUAUGUUAUUUGAUAGAACAUCAAAACGUGGACCCCUGUCUUUUGCUAAUUUAGCAGACGGGCUUUUUUGCGCGGUGGAAGAGUUUAUGCUGGCUGUUCCCUGUGCAGUACAUUUACUCGGACGACCAGAUCGAAGAGAUCAACGACCGCCUGGCCGCACUUGGCCGAAUGCCUCUGCUAAGUGCACGCUCGCGGUGACUUUGACCCCCCAAGUGACGUCGGCCGCUUCGAGGGCAUCGAUGCCCUGUUUGAGGGCGCAACCAAGGAGAAGCUCACGAAGCCCAUCGUCGCUUGCCUCACGAGGAGAACCGUUAAGUCCACCACUGUCUGGAGUGCUGAGGCAUGCCGUAUUAAGUCACUCGCUGGAGACCUCACGUCUGCGUAAAGUCGUUUCAGAACAAAACGUAUCCUAGCCCUCCUUUUCUCCACGGCUUUUUCCAUACAAUGUACAUCCUACAUAUUCAUGAUAAAAACUGAAACAGGUGUCAAGGUACCAAUAAAUUGUAGAAUGAUCGCUGGUUAUAAA